UUGGGGUUUCCGUUGCUUAAAGUACUAGCAAUUUGUUUUUUGGGGUGGUAUUGGUGGUGUUAGUUAAACUUUCUUGUAAUUUCUAUAAAUUUUGGUGUACUUUUUAACCUCCAGCUUCUUGUAUGGUUUAGGUUGAAACAAGGAAAUGUGUCAUUUAAUUACAGGUAUUACAAUAAUACGUUGCAGAAAGUGGAAGUUACGGAAGAUUUCUCUUGUCCAUUUUGUUUGGUUA
This is a non-coding RNA of Cajanus cajan (pigeon pea), 232 nucleotides long. Lineage: Eukaryota; Viridiplantae; Streptophyta; Magnoliopsida; Fabales; Fabaceae. The record is from RefSeq and is a predicted model, not a curated record.